This is a long non-coding RNA of Choloepus didactylus (southern two-toed sloth), 4039 nucleotides long. RefSeq lists it as uncharacterized. NCBI's taxonomy places the organism in Eukaryota, Metazoa, Chordata, Mammalia, Pilosa, Megalonychidae. The record is from RefSeq and is a predicted model, not a curated record. The transcript is spliced from 4 exons.
ACCCGCGCCGGGCUCCGCCCCUCGCACUAACGAGCCGCGCGUCCACAGUCCCAGCUGGAGCCGGUCCCGCGAGGCACGCAGGAGACUUACUUGUGGAAAGAAACGGGCUUAUCCUUAUCGUAUCGGUUCUUGCAACCGUAGGCGGAACAGGACUGCACCAUCCUUCCGGUCCUCACUCACUUCACUUCUGCCGCCACGGCAGGCAGCAGAAAAGAGCAGAGCCAUCGCCCGUCUCCCAUCUCCAAGAUGGCGGAGGCAGCUUCAAUCUCACCUCUCGCGAGGAGUUUGUCCCACUGUCUUUGAUUAGCCCCAAGGUCAAAGGCAUCCUUAGACCUUGUGAGAAUCUAGGUGACAGAUUUUUAACAGAGAAACCACACACACAACACUCCUCCCUCCAUACCCUGCCGAAUCCUCCCUGGUCUCGGUGAGCCGCUCCACUGCAGCUUCCCAAGCAAACCCGCUUCUGAAGGCUGUUGCUACAGUAAUCUCCAGGUGCUGUGUUGGAAAUCGCGAAGUGCUGCAGCGAUUUUCUCAUUGAAGAAUGGUUUUACCUUCCUUGCUUCCUGCUCCUCUCCUUUAUGUAGAUCAGGGCCUGAAAACCUAGAAAACAGGUUGAGUAAUUUCAUGGCUCUUAAUACGCUCUUCUAAAAUGGUGUUUCUCAAGGUUCCAUCCUCUGCCCUCCUCUCUAAACACUCUGCUCCUUCACUUCAGUCAGAUGCCACGACUUCCUAAAUAUUGUAUUUCUUAAGUAAAUCUGUUCUGCUUUCAGUAGUCUUAUCAUCUGUGAGUUACCUAUUCAGUUGCUGGAGCCAGAAACCUUGGAGUCAUCUUGGAUUUCUUUCUCAUCCUCCACAUCCCUUUGAUCAACAAGUAAAUUCUAUCAAAUAAAUAAAUACCUCUUAAAUCCAUCUUUUUUCAUCUCUCCUCGCACUGGUUCUUGAUCAGGCCCUCAUGGUCUCCUUCCCUUGCUUUUGCAGUAACCUAACUGUCCUAAUCUCCCGUUUUGCCUCUUUUCAGUCCAUCCUCCAUGGAAACUGAUAGGUCAUUCCCCUGCUCACAUCCUUCAGCUGCUACCCUGUGCAUGAACUGAAUGAAAUCCAGACUUAGGUGGACACAUAGUGCUUUAGGACCAGACAAUUCCUUCCCUGACCAACCAGCUUUGGCAAGCGUAUGAUUUCUACCACUAUUCCUUUACCCUGUCUGGAGUUUAUCAUGUAAACAGAAUUGUGAAAUAUCUGCACUUUUUAUAUUGCAGUUAUAAACCAUAUGGUAAUUUCUGUGUAUAUCUGUUUUCCUCUCUGUACUGUAAACCCAUUGAGGACAGGGACUGAGUCUUUAAUAAUCUUGUAGCUUGAGUGCCUGGCAAAUAUUAAAUAUUCAGAAAAUUCUGGUUGAAUCAACUGGGCCUAGAAACCAUAAAUCUAAAAUAGUUUCAGGGCCAUAUCCAUAUAUCAAAGCAUCUGAAUAAUAGCUUAUUUCCAGUGGAUAUUGAGACAGGUGGUAAUUUCCUCUGUGGUCUGCUGCACAAUAAAUAUCAGACUGUGAUAAUUGUUUGUGAACUGAAAAAGUAUAUUUUAACUUAGAGUUCACUGAACUCUUUACUCAUCAAUUGAUAAAACAAAUAUUUACUGAACAUCUAUGUUCUAUGCAUAAUUCUAGGGGUUUGGGAUACAUUAGUGAACAAAACGAAGUUUUUUGCCCUUGUGGAGCUAAUGUUUUAGUCGGGGUUGGGGAAGGCAGAGAGGAAACAUAAUAUGGAACCACAUCUGUUAGACGGUGAAAGGUGUUAUGUGGAGGUGAGGGAGUUACAACUUCAUAUACAAUGUACAGGGCAGGCCUCAUUGAGGAAGUGAUAUUUAAACAAAGACUGGGAGUUGAUGAGAGAGCUGAGUGUAUCUGGGGGAAGAACUUUGCAGGCAGAGGGAAUGCCGAAGGCAGUUCAUGAGGCACAGUGUUCCCAAAAUGUUGAAAGAACAGCAAAGAGGCAGUGUAGCUGGAGCCAAGUGGGGAAACAAAUAAGAGAUGAUGUCAGAGAGAAACAGAGGGACAAGAUCACGUAGACCCUUGUAGGCUAGUAUAAGGAGUUUGGCUUUUACCCCGAGGGAAAUGGAAAGCAGGGUUUUGAGCUGAGGUGUGAUACAAUCUUUUGAAGGGUUCUUUACUGUGUUGAGUAUAGACAGCCGGGAAUAACUAGGAGGCUAGGAGACUGGUUAGAAGGCUGCUGUGGCAACGUAGGUGAGACAUAAUGGUGACUUGGGUAGCAGCAAAGGAAUAAGAAGUGGUCUUUCCUUGUCUUCUCCCUCCUUUAUUUCUUUCAUUUACUUAUUACUCUCUAUUUAUUGAGCACCUACUAAGGUGGCAGGUGUUAUGCCAGGUCUGAGAAUAUAUUGGUGAACAAGACAGAGUCUUUAUCUGCAUAGAAUUUAUAUCCUAGUGAGGGGAAAACUGUUGGUAAAAAUAAAUAAACUUUCGGCUGAGAUGCCUGAAUACAUCAGAAUGCUAUAAAGGUAACUUAGGGGAAGGUAGGGUCACUACUUACUUUAGCUGGGAUAGUUAGGAAGUUUGUCUGAGUAGGGAACAUUUAACCUGAGAACCACAGAAUAGAAAAAAAUCCAGUAAUAUAAAGAAUGAAGGGGCAAGGUUUGGGAGAGCAUUCCAGACAGAAGGAAUGUGGUGGAGCACAGUGAGCUGGGGGAAAAGGGCAUGAAAUGAGGUUGAAAAAAUAGGCAAGGGUCUUGGUUUGGAUUUUAAUUUCAGUGGGAAGCCAUUGAAUCAUUUUAAGCAGGGGUGAGACGUGAUCCAAUAAACAUUUUUAAAAAGUCAUUCUGGCUUUUGGCUGGAGGGUUUGUCAGAUGGGGGUAACAGUGCAGGCAAGCAGACCAAUUAGGAGACUUGCAGCGAACAAGAGAACAAAAGGUAAUAGCUUGGACCAAGGUGAUAGCACCAGCGACGGAGCAGUAGGCCUCGAGAGAUAUUUAGGAGAUAGAAAUGCCAGGGUUUGCUGAUAGAUUGUACAUGAGGAAGAGGAAGGAAGGAAAAGGAAUCAAGAUAUCAAGCAUGAUUUUCAGGUUUCUGGCUGAAGUAUUUAGAUGGAUAGAUAGUGGUGCCUUUUACUGAUAUGCAAAUGGCCUUUAGGAAAGAAGAGAGCUUCUUCCCUCAAUAAAAUAGAGGACUUGGAGGGGCAGGAGUAACUUAGGAAGCUGAGUCAACAGCUGUGGUGUUCUAUGACUGGGGAAUAUCAGAAGAGAAAGUAAGUAUAAAGUAGAUCUCAGAGACUGGAAAUGUAAGCUACUAAGUAGGGUGUUACAGUCACAGCCAGUGUUGAGGGCCCUUUUGAGGUCUGUGAUCAUUAAUCAAUUUAAAGUGAAACCAGUCAGUUUUGUCAUACGAUUUCCCCAUAGCCAAGUUCCCUCCUUUGCUUCUUUUUCUACUGUUUUUUUAUCUUCUAGCUAUUCAUAACUUGGAAAUGAAAUAUACAUUGUUAUUUAAUAUAAUUAUAUUCCCUUCAAAAUCGUAAAUUUCUUGCCAUAGUGAAUUACAUGUAUUUUUAAAAAUAUGUAUGUAUUAGAUUGAAUUGAAUGGUGAUUUUCUUCUUUGAAAAAAUCUCCCAAACUAAAUUUUCCUUUGUGUGGUCUGCAAAUUAAUUUAUUUGCUUAAUAUAAAAAUAAUUUCCACUUCCUCUAAACUAACUUAACUGUUGUCUGUUUUUCUUCUUUCUACUUUGUCCAUUGCUUAACAUUUUCUGAGGCCUGAAUAAACUGUUCCUUACCUUUCAAGGGUGAUCAUGGGGAAGCAUUUUUACUUUCAAAGAUGAUCACCCUUGCCUUUUAAAAAAGUUGAUGGAAAUAACCCGAAUGUCCAUUAAUAGUUGAAUGAAUAAAUGUGGUAAAGUCACACAGUGGAAUACUAUACAGCAAUCAAAAUAAAGCAGCUGCUACUGGCAAAAAUGCGGAUGAUUCUUACACAUGAUGUUGAAUGAAAGAAGUCAAACAAAAGAAAAUAUAUGAAUCUAUUCUUGUAAAAUGAAAAAAAAAAAAA